RNAcentral lists this long non-coding RNA (1537 nucleotides) under Salmo salar (Atlantic salmon). RNAcentral's name for it is "lncRNA (ENSSSAG00000093911.1)". Lineage: Eukaryota; Metazoa; Chordata; Actinopteri; Salmoniformes; Salmonidae. The record is from RNAcentral.
CUUUAAGAACAGGGCUAAACUCCUAUGUGCAUAUACUUAGUUGAGCAGGUUGCAAAGCAGCAAGUCGAUCUCCAACUUGCUCCCACUAAUAGCUGGAAUACUACAGACAAAUUGUAAACACACUACUUUCACAGCAGGGGUGUGCUAUUGCUGCUUUUACUUGCCAUAGGAGUUGGCACAAGUCACACACACACACACAGACACACACACACACAUAUACACCCACGCACGCACGCACACCCACGCACGCACACACACAGACAAACAGUUUCUUCUGCAGGUUUGAACUGCGAUCAAGAUGGGCAAUGAGCAUUCCAAAAACAAGGCUGAGCAGGCUCCAGAAAAGCCCCUGCAUGGAGGUUUGAAUGGCCAUGCUGUAAGCAUCUCAUCCAAUGGCCUGGAGAAUGUUACCAGUGAAGCAGCUGUGGAGCAGAACAGUAUGCCUACCUCACUGCCUCCCUCUGAAGAGUCAGGUAUAGUGGAGGCAGAUGGCAGUGGUCUUGGGCCUGUGGUGGUGGAACAGAAGUCUGCCGUCAAGAAGGUUCCAGAAGUGGAACCAGAGACACAGAAUGCUAAGACUCAAAACACAGCGGAACCGGAACUGGAACCAGCCACCCAAGAGAAGGAGGAGCCCAAGAACAGUACACAAGAAAAAGUGAACAUCUUUGAAAAUCUGUUCAAGAAGAAAGCUAAGCCUCAACCCACCCCCAACCCGGAUCCAGCCCUGGAAAAGGAGGAGCCCAUAAGGGAGAAGAUUGUGGAGGAGAUUGAAAGUUCUGCGGAAGAUCAGAAAGUCCCUGUGGCUGUGACCGAUGGGAUCCAAGCUGAGCCACUUGCUGAGGUAAAGGAGGAUACAGAGACUUCAAAGGAGCGUCCCAACCCUAGUCCAGAGGCAGAGGAGGUCAAAAGCCCCAAAAUUGCAGAGGAAAGCAGUCACAUUCAGGAAAACCAAGAGGGAGAGAGUCAAACAGAAGAUAAUCCAGUUAUGAACUUCUUCAAAACACUAGUUAUUGUCCUGCUGAAAGGAGAAUUCAUCUCCCUGUGUCUGGUGGAAAGCUGACUGAACCAGGUUUCGUCUAGGAUUUUGCCUGUGCUUACCUCCAUUCCAUUUUUUAUCUUGAUAAACUCCCCAGUCCUUAACGAUUACACACACACCCAUAAGAUGAUGCAUCCACCACUAUGCUUGAAACUAUGGAGUUGUCACGUCCUGAUCAGUAAAGGGGUUAUUUGUUAUUAUAGUUUGGUCAGAACGUGGCAGGGGGUAUUUGUUUGAUAUGGUUUUGAGUGUGUGUUUAUGUAGAGGGUCGUUUUAUUUAUGUUUCUGGGGUUUUUGGUUUAGUUCUAUGUUGUACAGUUCUAUGUCUGUUUCUAGGGUGUUUAUUUCUAUGUUUAGUAUUUGGGAUUGGGGCCUUCAAUUGGAGGCAGCUGGUUAUCGUUGCCUCUGAUUGAAGGUCCUAUAAUUAGGAGUUUGUUUGUUUUGGGGAUUGUGGGAGAUUGUUCUUUGUACUGCUGUGUGAGCAGACAAGGCUGUGUGUGU